AGAGUUUGAUCCUGGCUCAGGAUGAACGCUAGCGGGAGGCCUAACACAUGCAAGUCGAACGGGAUUGGUAGCAAUACCAUGAGAGUGGCGCACGGGUGAGUAACGCGUAUGCAACCUACCUGUAACAGAGGGAUAGCCCAUAGAAAUGUGGAUUAAUAUCUCAUAGUUCUAUUAGAUCGCAUGAUUUGAUAGAUAAAGCUCCGGCGGUUACAGAUGGGCAUGCGUGACAUUAGCUAGUUGGUAAGGUAACGGCUUACCAAGGCUACGAUGUCUAGGGGUUCUGAGAGGAUGAUCCCCCACACUGGUACUGAGACACGGACCAGACUCCUACGGGAGGCAGCAGUGAGGAAUAUUGGUCAAUGGGCGCAAGCCUGAACCAGCCAUCCCGCGUGCAGGAUGACGGCCCUAUGGGUUGUAAACUGCUUUUGUACCUGAAGAAUAGGCCCAACGAGUUGGGAUUUGCCGGUAAGGUAUGAAUAAGCAUCGGCUAACUCCGUGCCAGCAGCCGCGGUAAUACGGAGGAUGCAAGCGUUAUCCGGAUUCAUUGGGUUUAAAGGGUGCGCAGGUGGGAAAAUAAGUCAGUGGUGAAAUACUGCCGCUUAACGGUAGAAUUGCCAUUGAUACUGUUUUUCUUGAGUAUGGUUGAGGUAGGUGGAAUGUGUUGUGUAGCGGUGAAAUGCAUAGAUAUGACACAGAACACCAAUUGCGAAGGCAGCUUACGAAACUACAACUGACGCUCAGGGACGAAAGCGUGGGGAGCGAACAGGAGGAUUAGAUACCCUGGUAGUCCACGCCGUAAACGAUGCUCACUCGCUGUUUGCGAUACACAGCAAGCGGCCAAGCGAAAGCAUUAAGUGAGCCACCUGGGGAGUACGAUCGCAAGGUUGAAACUCAAAGGAAUUGACGGGGGCCCGCACAAGCGGAGGAACAUGUGGUUUAAUUCGAUGAUACGCGAGGAACCUUACCCGGGCUCGAACGGUGCAGGAAUAUGUAGAGAUGUCAUAGCUAGCAAUAGUCUGUAUCGAGGUGCUGCAUGGUUGUCGUCAGCUCGUGCCGUGAGGUGUCGGCUUAAGUGCCAUAACGAGCGCAACCCUUGUCGUUAGUUGCCAUCAAGUAAUGUUGGGGACUCUAGCGAGACUGCCACCGUAAGGUGAGAGGAAGGUGGGGAUGACGUCAAAUCAGCACGGCCCUUAUGUCCAGGGCUACACACGUGUUACAAUGGCCGAUACAAAGGGCAGCUACUCCGCGAGGAGAUGCUAAUCUCUAAAGUCGGUCCCAGUUCGGAUUGGAGUCUGCAACCCGACUCCAUGAAGUUGGAUUCGCUAGUAAUCGCGCAUCAGCCAUGGCGCGGUGAAUACGUUCCCGGGCCUUGUACACACCGCCCGUCAAACCAUGGGAGCUGGGGGUGCCUGAAGUCUGCCACCGCAAGGAGCGGCCUAGGGUAAAACCAGUGACUGGGGUUAAGUCGUAACAAGGUAACC
Molecule: ribosomal RNA, 1481 nt
Filed under: uncultured bacterium
Lineage: Bacteria
Description: bacterial SSU rRNA
Rfam family: Bacterial small subunit ribosomal RNA
Source: RNAcentral